GUAGACAUAAUUUAACUAAAAUACUAGAUUGUGAUUCUAGACACAGGGGUUAAACCCCCCUUGUCCACC
Molecule: transfer RNA, 69 nt
Filed under: Fistularia tabacaria (cornetfish)
Lineage: Eukaryota; Metazoa; Chordata; Actinopteri; Syngnathiformes; Fistulariidae
Description: tRNA-His
Rfam family: tRNA
About the family: Transfer RNA (tRNA) molecules are approximately 80 nucleotides in length.
Source: RNAcentral